AGUGAACGCUGGCGGUAGGCCUAACACAUGCAAGUCGAACGGCAGCACAGUAAGAGCUUGCUCUUACGGGUGGCGAGUGGCGGACGGGUGAGGAAUACAUCGGAAUCUACUUUUUCGUGGGGGAUAACGUAGGGAAACUUACGCUAAUACCGCAUACGACCUACGGGUGAAAGCAGGGGAUCUUCGGACCUUGCGCGAUUGAAUGAGCCGAUGUCGGAUUAGCUAGUUGGCGGGGUAACGGCUCACCAAGGCGACGAUCCGUAGCUGGUCUGAGAGGAUGAUCAGCCACACUGGAACUGAGACACGGUCCCGACUCCUGCGGGAGGCAGCAGUGGGGAAUAUUGGGCAAUGGGCGCAAGCCUGAUCCAGCCAUACCGCGUGAGUGAUGAAGGCCUUCGGGUUGUAAAGCCCUUUUGUUGGGAAAGAAAAGCAGCAGGUUAAUACCCCGCUGUUCUGACGGUACCCAAAGAAUAAGCACCGGCUAACUUCGUG
RNAcentral lists this ribosomal RNA (492 nucleotides) under uncultured bacterium. Its description in RNAcentral is "partial 16S ribosomal RNA". It matches the Rfam family "Bacterial small subunit ribosomal RNA", at positions 29 to 507 of the family's 1533-position model. The record is from RNAcentral.